Molecule: ribosomal RNA, 467 nt
Filed under: uncultured bacterium
Lineage: Bacteria
Description: partial 16S ribosomal RNA
Rfam family: Bacterial small subunit ribosomal RNA
Source: RNAcentral
GAUGAACGCUGACAGAAUGCUUAACACAUGCAAGUCAACUUGAAUUUGGGUUUUUAACUUAGGUUUGGGUGGCGGACGGGUGAGUAACGCGUAAAGAACUUGCCUCACAGCUAGGGACAACAUUUGGAAACGAAUGCUAAUACCUAAUAUUAUGAUAAUAGGGCAUCCUAUAAUUAUGAAAGCUAUAAGCGCUGUGAGAGAGCUUUGCGUCCCAUUAGCUAGUUGGAGAGGUAACGGCUCACCAAGGCGAUGAUGGGUAGCCGGCCUGAGAGGGUGAUCGGCCACAAGGGGACUGAGACACGGCCCUUACUCCUACGGGAGGCAGCAGUGGGGAAUAUUGGACAAUGGACCGAGGGUCUGAUCCAGCAAUUCUGUGUGCACGAUGAAGUUUUUAGGAAUGUAAAGUGCUUUCAGUUGGGAAGAAACAAAUGACGGUACCAACAAAAGAAGAGACGGCUAAAUACGUG